This 555-nucleotide ribosomal RNA is filed under the name uncultured bacterium. Its description in RNAcentral is "bacterial SSU rRNA". It matches the Rfam family "Bacterial small subunit ribosomal RNA", at positions 45 to 576 of the family's 1533-position model. The record is from RNAcentral.
UGCUUACACAUCAGUCGAGCGGCAGCGCGGGGGCACCCUGGCGGCGAGCGGCGGACGGGUAGUAAUGCAUCGGAACGUAUCCCGUAGUGGGGGACAACCCAGCGAAAGCUGGGCUAAUACCGCAUAUGCUCUACGGAGGAAAGCGGGGGACUUCGCAAGGAGCCUCGCGCUAUGGGAGCGGCCGAUGUCCGAUUAGCUAGUUGGUGGGGUAAAGGCUUACCAAGGCGACGAUCGGUAGCUGGUCUGAGAGGAUGAUCAGCCACACUGGGACUGAGACACGGCCCAGACUCCUACGGGAGGCAGCAGUGGGGAAUUUUUGGACAAUGGGGGCAAACCCUGAUCCAGCCAUGCCGCGUGCGGGAAGAAGGCCUUCGGGGUUGUAAACCGCUUUUGGUCGGGAAGAAAAGGGUUCUCUCUAACAGAGGGGACUUGUUGACGGGUACCGGGCAAGGAAUUAAGGCACCGGGCUUAACUAACGUUGCCAAGCAGCCGGGGGUAAUACGUAGGGUGCGAGCGUUAAUCGGGAAUUACUGGGCGUUAAAAGCGUGCGCAAGG